AUGGAGUCUGUGCUCCGCUGGGUUUUCCUUGUCACUAUUUUAAAAUGUGUCCAGGGUGAGGUGCAGCUGGUGGAGUCUGGGGGAGACCUAGUGAAGCCUGGGGGGUCCCUGAGACUCUCCUGUGUGGCCUUUGGAUUCACCUUCAGUAGCUACAGCAUGCAAUGGGUCCGUCAGGCUCCAGGGAAGGGGCUGCAAUGGGUUACAUGGAUUGGGUAUGAUGGAAGUAGCACAUACUACACAGACACUGUAAAGGGCCGAUUCACCAUCUCCAUAGACAACGCCAAGAACAUGCUGUAUCUGCAGAUGAACAGCCUGAGAGCCGAGGACAUAGCCCUGUAUUACUGUGCGAGGGACACAGUGAGGGGACCUCAGUGUGAAUCCAGACACAAACGUCCCUGUAGAAGGGGAUCAGGACCACCAGGGGGUGGACACUCCUAA
This is a non-coding RNA of Canis lupus familiaris (dog), 438 nucleotides long. NCBI's taxonomy places the organism in Eukaryota, Metazoa, Chordata, Mammalia, Carnivora, Canidae. The record is from the annotation of a RefSeq genome assembly.